GAUGAAGAACGUAGCGAAAUGCGAUACGUAAUGUGAAUUGCAGAAUUCAGUGAAUCAUCGAAUCUUUGAACGCAUAUUGCGCUCUCUGGUAUUCCGGAGAGCAUGCUUGUUUGAGUAUCAGUAAACACCUCAACUCCCUUUUCUUUUUUGAAAUUGGAGCUGGACUUGAGUGAUCCCAACGCUUUCUUCCAAGAAAGUGGCGGGUUGCUUGAAAUGCAGGUGCAGCUGAACUUUUCUCUGAGCUAUAAGCAUAUCUAUUUAGUCUGCCUAAAAAACAGAUUAUUACCUUUGCUGCAGCUAACAUAAAGGAGACUAGUUCUUGUGCUGACUGAUGCAGGAUUCACAGAGACAGCUUCGGCUGACUUUGUAAACUCGAUCUCAAAUCAAGUAAGACUACCCGCUGAACUUAAGCAUAUCAAUAAGCGGAUGA
Molecule: unclassified non-coding RNA, 430 nt
Filed under: soil metagenome
Description: partial contains 5.8S ribosomal RNA, internal transcribed spacer 2, and large subunit ribosomal RNA
Rfam family: 5.8S ribosomal RNA (bases 1-120)
Source: RNAcentral